This 253-nucleotide ribosomal RNA is filed under the name uncultured bacterium. RNAcentral's name for it is "partial 16S ribosomal RNA". It matches the Rfam family "Bacterial small subunit ribosomal RNA", at positions 524 to 776 of the family's 1533-position model. The record is from RNAcentral.
UACGAAGGGGGCUAGCGUUGCUCGGAAUUACUGGGCGUAAAGCGCACGUAGGCGGCUUCUUAAGUCGGUGGUGAAAUCCUGGAGCUCAACUCCAGAACUGCCUUCGAUACUGGGAAGCUCGAGUCCGGGAGAGGUGAGUGGAACUGCGAGUGUAGAGGUGAAAUUCGUAGAUAUUCGCAAGGACACCAGUGGCGAAGGCGGCUCACUGGCCCGGUACUGACGCUGAGGUGCGAAAGCGUGGGGAGCAAACAGG